This 2710-nucleotide long non-coding RNA is filed under the name Sus scrofa (pig). RNAcentral's name for it is "lncRNA (ENSSSCG00000061382.1)". The record is from RNAcentral. Lineage: Eukaryota; Metazoa; Chordata; Mammalia; Artiodactyla; Suidae.
AAACAAAUCUCAGGUAACUUCACUGGAGGAUUCUUCCAAGUAUGUAAGCAAGUUCUAAUACUAAUUUAGCACACUCUCUUCCUGAGUAUAAAGAGUAUGAAACACAUCUUAAAUCACUAUUUGAAGCCAGCAUUACCCUGGUAUCAAAAUCAGACCAAAAAAUACCAAUUAACAAAGUUUCUCUAUCAUAAAAUUAUACAUAAAUAUCUUCAAGAAAAUAUUAGCAAAUUGAAUUCAGAGUGGUAUCAAAAUUAUACUCCAUGACUAAAUGGGAUUCAUUUUAGUUAUACAAGGUUGAUUUAAUAUUUGAAAAUUAACCAAAGUAAUCCACCAUAUCGAUAGGCCAAGAAAAUCACAUUAUCAUAUGAGCUAAUGCAGAAAGAGCAUCUGACAAAAUCUAACAUCAAUGUAUGAUAAAAGGCUAUCAGCACAUUAUAGAGGAUAUUUUUUAUCAACUUGAUAAGAUGGCCUAUUAAAAAAAAUAAUUCCAAUUAACAUUGACCUUAAUGAUGAAAGAUGGAAUGCCUACCUUCUAAUAUUGAGAACAAAGCAAGAAUAGCCAUUGUCUUCCUUCUUAAUCAACCUUGAUAUUCUAGCCACUAGAAUAAAAAGAACACUGAAAUAUCUAGUGGAUGUUUUAGCCAGCACAAUAAGGCAAGACAAAGAAAUUAAAGGCCUAUAUUGACAAGAAGGACGAAACUGUUUAUUUGCAGAGGACGUUGUUGUCUACAUAGAAAAUCUCAGAGAAUUUCCAAAUGUUUCUGAGACUACAAACCAUAUAACCUACAAAAGCUUUUUAUCUAAAAAAUGUAAAGAACUCUCAGGUUUGAACAGACUUCUUGUUCAGAAAGUUCACAGGACACAAGAGCAAAAUAGAAAAAUCUAACACAUUUCUAUACAAUUACAUGUACAAAUCAAAAUUAAAAAUAAUAGUAAUAUUAUUACUUUUAAUAAUAGUAUUUAGGAAAUAAUAGUAUUAAUUAUUUUCUACUAUUCAUAAAAAUCUUCUGCAUUAAUCUAACAAAACUUUACUGGACUUUUAAGCUGAGUAUUUUUUCUAAAUACUGAUAAAUAUUAAAAAAUAUUUAAAUAAAUGCUACUGUGCCUAUGGAAUGGAAAACUCAACAUACUAGAGAUGUAAAUUCUUCCCAAAUACAAGUAGUUUUAACACAGUUCUUACCAAAAUUCCAAUUUUUUGCAUAUAUAGACAGACUUAUCCUAAUAUUUUCUUGGAAUGACAGUGGACUUAGAAUAGCUAAAAUGAUUUUGUAAAAGAAGAAUAAAACAGAGAGAUUAACAUAAUAGAAUGUAAUUAAUCUAAAAUAGAAUGUAAUUACUGUAAAAGAAAGAGAUAAUAGCUUAUUAAACAAUGUGGAACAACUGGACAGUCAUAGAGGAAAAAUGAAUGGAUGAAAUCUCAAACCUUAUACAAAAAGUAACUAAAAUGAAUCACUUUUAGAAAACUAAAAAAGACAACCCAGAAAACUCUAAAUUUUUAGAUAAAAAUAGAAGAAAAAUUCAGGAAUUAAGAGUGGGCAAAUAAUUUAAGAAUACAAUACCAAGAGCAUAAUCCACAAAAGGAAUCCUUUAUAAAAAUUAGAAAUUAUUAAAAUUAAAAACUUUUCUCCAAAAAUGACCCAGUCAAGAGAAUAAACAGACUAGCCACAGACUGGGAGAACAUAUCUACAAAACAUAUAUCCUACAAAAGCUUUGUAUCUGGAAAAUAUAAAGAACUCUCAGCGUUCAACAGUAAAAACAACAAUAAAAAUUUAAAAAAAAAUCCAAGUAGAAAAUGAGCAAAAGACAUGAAAAUAUAUGUCACAUAAGAGGACCCAGGGACGGACAAUAAGGAUACAGAUAUGUCCAAAAUCCUUAGCCUUUAGGGAAAUGCAAAUUAAAACCACAAUUAGAUAUCACUAUUCUGUCAGAAUGAUUAAAAUACACAACACUGACAAUACCAUAUGCUGACACGAAUUGAGAGAAAACAAUUACUCAUACAUUGCAGGUGGGAAUCUAGCAUGAUACCACCAAGCUGAAAAGAUUACAGCAGCCUUUUUAUAAAACUAAAUAUUUACUUAGCACAUAACCCAGCAAUUGCACUUUGGGGCAUUUAUUCCAGAUAAAUGAAAAAAUUAUAUUCACACACACAAUCUAAACCAAAACAAACAAAAAAAAUAAAGAAAAAAUUCUUACCAAACCGCAUUUCUUUCAUCUCAUACAGCAAGUAAAAUGUUCAGAAGCUGAGGUUUGCAGCAGGGAAAAAUGAUUCCAAUGCAGCCAGGUCAAAAAGAAGAGUAAGCCCUAGAAUCUCUAUCCCAUGGGCAAGGGCCGUGGGAGGGUCUGUGGAAUAAAGAAUAAAGAAGCAGGCUGGUCUGAGGCACGGGGAGCAUGGAGAGGAUGGAAAAAUGUGAUUGAAAAAAGGUGGUAAUUGCGGUUCUAUGCAGGCAUAAUUAAGCUACAAGUCUCUCCACAUUUAAAAAUGGAGGCACUUACCAUGAUCUGAGGGUGGAGUUUGAGGCCUUCUGAGGUCAAGUUCACUCAGCAUUUGUGCAUGCCAAAUAAGAGGGUCUGUGGUCCUAUCCGGUCUUAACCAGCUUAACUCUAAUGAGACACAGCUGACCCCAAGUUCUGAAAAACAGCUCAGGCAAACAUCUUACUGUAAGGCUAUGAGCUCCUCAGAAGACAGUCAGGUCUUAAAACAACCUUGAUU